AUUGAACGCUGGCGGCAUGCUUUACACAUGCAAGUCGAACGGUAACAGCACUUCGGUGGCUGACGAGUGGCGAACGGGUGAGUAAUACAUCGGAACGAGCCUAGUAGUGGGGGAUAACUACUCGAAAGAGUAGCUAAUACCGCAUGAGAUCUAAGGAUGAAAGCAGGGGACCUUCGGGCCUGGUGCUACUAGAGCGGCUGAUGGCAGAUUAGGUAGUUGGUGGGAUAAAAGCUUACCAAGCCGACGAUCUGUAGCUGGUCUGAGAGGACGACCAGCCACACUGGGACUGAGACACGGCCCAGACUCCUACGGGAGGCAGCAGUGGGGAAUUUUGGACAAUGGGCGCAAGCCUGAUCCAGCAAUGCCGCGUGCAGGAUGAAGGCCUUCGGGUUGUAAACUGCUUUUGUACGGAACGAAAAGCCCUCUUCUAAUACAGGAGGGUCAUGACGGUACCGUAAGAAUAAGCACCGGCUAACUACGUG
Molecule: ribosomal RNA, 482 nt
Filed under: uncultured bacterium
Lineage: Bacteria
Description: partial 16S ribosomal RNA
Rfam family: Bacterial small subunit ribosomal RNA
Source: RNAcentral